This 929-nucleotide ribosomal RNA is filed under the name Salinibacterium sp. Its description in RNAcentral is "bacterial SSU rRNA". It matches the Rfam family "Bacterial small subunit ribosomal RNA", at positions 144 to 1085 of the family's 1533-position model. The record is from RNAcentral. Lineage: Bacteria; Bacillati; Actinomycetota; Actinomycetes; Micrococcales; Microbacteriaceae.
UAAGCGUUGGAAACGACGUCUAAUACUGGAUACGAGCUUCAGCCGCAUGGCUAGGAGCUGGAAAGAAUUUCGGUCAAGGAUGGACUCGCGGCCUAUCAGGUAGUUGGUGAGGUAAUAGCUCACCAAGCCUACGACGGGUAGCCGGCCUGAGAGGGUGACCGGCCACACUGGAACUGAGACACGGUCCAGACUCCUACGGGAGGCAGCAGUGGGGAAUAUUGCACAAUGGGCGAAAGCCUGAUGCAGCAACGCCGCGUGAGGGACGACGGCCUUCGGGUUGUAAACCUCUUUUAGUAGGGAAGAAGCGAAAGUGACGGUACCUGCAGAAAAAGCACCGGCUAACUACGUGCCAGCAGCCGCGGUAAUACGUAGGGUGCAAGCGUUAUCCGGAAUUAUUGGGCGUAAAGAGCUCGUAGGCGGUUUGUCGCGUCUGCUGUGAAAACUGGAGGCUCAACCUCCAGCCUGCAGUGGGUACGGGCAGACUAGAGUGCGGUAGGGGAGAUUGGAAUUCCUGGUGUAGCGGUGGAAUGCGCAGAUAUCAGGAGGAACACCGAUGGCGAAGGCAGAUCUCUGGGCCGUAACUGACGCUGAGGAGCGAAAGCAUGGGGAGCGAACAGGAUUAGAUACCCUGGUAGUCCAUGCCGUAAACGUUGGGAACUAGAUGUAGGGACCAUUCCACGGUUUCUGUGUCGCAGCUAACGCAUUAAGUUCCCCGCCUGGGGAGUACGGCCGCAAGGCUAAAACUCAAAGGAAUUGACGGGGGCCCGCACAAGCGGCGGAGCAUGCGGAUUAAUUCGAUGCAACGCGAAGAACCUUACCAAGACUUGACAUAUACGAGAACGGGCUAGAAAUAGUUCACUCUUUGGACACUCGUAAACAGGUGGUGCAUGGUUGUCGUCAGCUCGUGUCGUGAGAUGUUGGGGUUAAGU